GACGAACGCUGGCGGCGUGCUUAACACAUGCAAGUCGAACGAAGAGCGAUGGAAGCUUGCUUCUAUCAAUCUUAGUGGCGAACGGGUGAGUAACGCGUAAUCAACCUGCCCUUCAGAGGGGGACAACAGUUGGAAACGACUGCUAAUACCGCAUACGAUCUAAUCUCGGCAUCGAGGAUAGAUGAAAGGUGGCCUCUACAUGUAAGCUAUCACUGAAGGAGGGGAUUGCGUCUGAUUAGCUAGUUGGAGGGGUAACGGCCCACCAAGGCGAUGAUGAGUAGCCGGUCUGAGAGGAUGAACGGCCACAUUGGGACUGAGACACGGCCCAGACUCCUACGGGAGGCAGCAGUGGGGAAUCUUCCGCAAUGGACGAAAGUCUGACGGAGCAACGCCGCGUGAGUGAUGACGGCCUUCGGGUUGUAAAGCUCUGUUAAUCGGGACGAAAGGCCUUCUUGCGAAUAGUGAGAAGGAUUGACGGUACCGGAAUAGAAAGCCACGGCUAACUACGUG
Molecule: ribosomal RNA, 510 nt
Filed under: uncultured bacterium
Lineage: Bacteria
Description: partial 16S ribosomal RNA
Rfam family: Bacterial small subunit ribosomal RNA
Source: RNAcentral